AGCUAAUACCGGAUAAUAUAUUGAACCGCAUGGUUCAAUAGUGAAAGAACGGUUUUGUCNGUCACUUAUAGAUGGAUCCGCGCUGCAUUAGCUAGUUGGUAAGGUAACGGCUUACCAAGGCAACGAUGCGUAGCCGACCUGAGAUGGGUGAUCGGCCACACUGGAACUGAGACACGGUCCAGACUCCUACGGGAGGCAGCAGUU
RNAcentral lists this ribosomal RNA (204 nucleotides) under uncultured Staphylococcus sp. RNAcentral's name for it is "partial 16S ribosomal RNA". It matches the Rfam family "Bacterial small subunit ribosomal RNA", at positions 161 to 355 of the family's 1533-position model. Lineage: Bacteria; Bacillati; Bacillota; Bacilli; Caryophanales; Staphylococcaceae. The record is from RNAcentral.